ACUGCUGGACAAGGAGUGUUGUGUUGAGCUCAUUUUCACACGAUGAACAACUGGCUUAGAACUGAUUCGGGCAAGGGGAAUCGGACUGCUUAAUUGAAACAAAGCAUUGCGAGGGCCUCAAAGGGUGGUGCCACAAUGUGAUUUCUGCCCAGUGCUCUGAAUGUCAAAGUGAGGAAAUUCAACUAAGCGCGGGUAAACGGCGGGAGUAACUAUGACUCUCUUAAGGUAGCCAAAUGCCUCGUCAUCCAAUUAGUGACGCGCAUGAAUGGAUUAAUGAGAUUCCCACUGUCCCCAUCUACUGUCCAGCGAAACCACAGCCAAGGGAACGGGCUUGGGUAAAUCAGCGGGGAAAGAAGACCCUGUUGAGCUUGACUCUAAUCUGACUUUGUGAAAUGACUUACGAGGUGUAGGAUAUGUGGGAGCUCUGGUGAUCUUGAAAUACCACUACUCUUAAUGUGACUUUACUUACUCUAUCAGACUGUGGCCUGCUUCCCAGCAGGUUUUUGUUUCUAGGGAUCUCAUCUGACUUGUUGACUUGCGUAGAGGACGUAGUCAGGUGGGCAGUUUGGCUGGGGCGGCACAUCUGUUAAAGGAAAACGCAGGUGUCCCAAGGUAAGCUCA
RNAcentral lists this ribosomal RNA (621 nucleotides) under Gambierdiscus australes. RNAcentral describes it as "partial large subunit ribosomal RNA". It matches the Rfam family "Eukaryotic large subunit ribosomal RNA", at positions 2053 to 2676 of the family's 3401-position model. The record is from RNAcentral. Lineage: Eukaryota; Dinophyceae; Gonyaulacales; Pyrocystaceae.